This 497-nucleotide ribosomal RNA is filed under the name uncultured bacterium. RNAcentral's name for it is "partial 16S ribosomal RNA". It matches the Rfam family "Bacterial small subunit ribosomal RNA", at positions 28 to 507 of the family's 1533-position model. The record is from RNAcentral.
GAUGAACGCUGGCGGCGUGCCUAAUACAUGCAAGUCGAGCGAACAGACGAGGAGCUUGCUCCUCUGACGUUAGCGGCGGACGGGUGAGUAACACGUGUAUCACCUCCCUAUAAUACUGGGAUAACUUCGGGAAACCGGAGCUAAUACCGUAUAAUAUAUUGAACCGCAUGGUUCAAUAGUGAAAGACGGUUUUGCUGUCACUUAUAGAUGGAUCCGCGCCGCAUUAGCUAGUUGGUAAGGUAACGGCUUACCAAGGCGACGAUGCGUAGCCGACCUGAGAGGGUGAUCGGCCACACUGGAACUGAGACACGGUCCAGACUCCUACGGGAGGCAGCAGUCGGGAAUCUUCCGCAAUGGGCGAAAGCCUGACGGAGCAACGCCGCGUGAGUGAUGAAGGUCUUCGGAUCGUAAAACUCUGUUAUUAGGGAAGAACAAAUGUGUAAGUAACUAUGCACGUCUUGACGGUACCUAAUCAGAAAGCAACGGCUAACUACGUG